Molecule: non-coding RNA, 28 nt
Filed under: Bombyx mori (domestic silkworm)
Lineage: Eukaryota; Metazoa; Arthropoda; Insecta; Lepidoptera; Bombycidae
Source: RNAcentral
UCAGAUUGUAUAUAGAUCCAUCGGUUGU